Molecule: ribosomal RNA, 253 nt
Filed under: uncultured bacterium
Lineage: Bacteria
Description: partial 16S ribosomal RNA
Rfam family: Bacterial small subunit ribosomal RNA
Source: RNAcentral
UACGUAGGGUGCGAGCGUUAAUCGGAAUUACUGGGCGUAAAGGGUGCGCAGGCGGUCUCGUAAGCUGGAUGUGAAAUCCCCGGGCUUAACCUGGGAAUGGCAUUUGGGACUGCAAGGCUCGAGUGCGGCAGAGGAGACUGGAAUUCCUGGUGUAGCAGUGAAAUGCGUAGAUAUCAAGAGGAACACCUGAGGUGAAGACGGGUUGCUGGGCUGACACUGACGCUGAGGCGCGAAAGCUAGGGUAGCAAACAGG